UACGGAGGAGGCAAGCGUUAUCCGGAAUUAUUGGGCGUAAAGCGUCCGCAGGUGGCGAUUCAAGUCUGCGGUUAAAGACUGGGGCUUAACCCUGGAAAGGCCGUGGAAACUGAAACGCUAGAGUGCAGUAGGGGUAGAGGGAAUUCCCGGUGUAGCGGUGAAAUGCGUAGAGCUCGGGAAGAACAUCGGUGGCGAAAGCGCUCUACUGGACUGCAACUGACACUCAGGGACGAAAGCUAGGGGAGCGAAUGGG
Molecule: ribosomal RNA, 253 nt
Filed under: uncultured bacterium
Lineage: Bacteria
Description: partial 16S ribosomal RNA
Rfam family: Bacterial small subunit ribosomal RNA
Source: RNAcentral